Molecule: unclassified non-coding RNA, 286 nt
Filed under: Hevea brasiliensis (rubber tree)
Lineage: Eukaryota; Viridiplantae; Streptophyta; Magnoliopsida; Malpighiales; Euphorbiaceae
Source: RNAcentral
UAGACCUCCGGAGUUGGAUGAGAAACUUCAGAAGGCUAGGAAGAAGAAGGAGCGGGAACCACUCGUCUCUGAGCCCACUAGGCAAAGUAAGAAGAGACGGCUUCAGGAAGAAAGUGUUCUUACUUCGAGUGAGGAAGGUGUUUACCAGCCUAAAACAAAGGAAACUAGGGCUGCUUAUGAGGCUAUGCUGAGCUUGAUUCAGCAGCAACUUGGGGGACAGCCUCUCAAUAUCGUAAGUGGAGCAGCUGAUGAGAUGUUGGCGGUGUUGAAAAAUGAUAACUUCAAG